GACGAACGCUGGCGGCGUGCUUAACACAUGCAAGUCGAACGGAAAGGCCCCCACUUUUUUGGUGGGGGUGCUCGAGUGGCGAACGGGUGAGUAACACGUGGGUGAUCUGCCCUGUACUUCGGGAUAAGCUUGGGAAACUGGGUCUAAUACCGGAUAGGACCAUGGUUUAGUGUCUCAUGGUGGAAAGAUUAUUGUUUUGGUGCAGGAUGAGCUCGCGGCCUAUCAGCUUGUUGGUGGGGUAAUGGCCUACCAAGGCGUCGACGGGUAGCCGGCCUGAGAGGGUGGACGGCCACAUUGGGACUGAGAUACGGCCCAGACUCCUACGGGAGGCAGCAGUGGGGAAUAUUGCACAAUGGGCGCAAGCCUGAUGCAGCGACGCCGCGUGGGGGAUGACGGCCUUCGGGUUGUAAACUCCUUUCGUUAGGGACGAAGCCACACCUUUUUUUGGGUGUGGUGACGGUACCUUUGUUAAGAAGCACCGGCUAACUACGUGCCAGCAGCCGCGGUAAUACGUAGGGUGCGAGCGUUGUCCGGAAUUGCUGGGCGUAAAGAGCUCGUAGGUGGUUUGUUGCGUCGUCUGUGAAUUCCGGGGCUUAACUUCGGGGUGGCAGGCGAUACGGGCAUAACUAGAGUGCUGUAGGGGAGACUGGAAUUCCUGGUGUAGCGGUGGAAUGCGCAGAUAUCAGGAGGAACACCGAUGGCGAAGGCAGGUCUCUGGGCAGUAACUGACGCUGAGGAGCGAAAGCAUGGGGAGCGAACAGGAUUAGAUACCCUGGUAGUCCAUGCUGUAAACGGUGGGCGUUAGGUGUGGGGACCGGUUUGGUUUCUGUGCCGUAGCUAACGCAUUAAGCGCCCCGCCUGGGGAGUACGGCCGCAAGGCUAAAACUCAAAGGAAUUGACGGGGGCCCGCACAAGCGGCGGAGCAUGUGGAUUAAUUCGAUGCAACGCGAAGAACCUUACCUGGGUUUGACAUGCACCAGACGGUUGCAGAGAUACGUACCUCCCUUUGUGGUUGGUGUGCAGGUGGUGCAUGGUUGUCGUCAGCUCGUGUCGUGAGAUGUUGGGUUAAGUCCCGCAACGAGCGCAACCCUUGUCUUAUGUUGCCAGCACUUUGGGUGGGGACUCAUGAGAGACUGCCGGGGUUAACUCGGAGGAAGGUGGGGAUGACGUCAAAUCAUCAUGCCCUUUAUGCCCAGGGCUUCACACAUGCUACAAUGGUUAGUACAACGCGCUGCAAGCCUGUGAGGGUGAGCGAAUCGCUGAAAGCUAAUCUCAGUUCGGAUUGGGGUCUGCAACUCGACCCCAUGAAGUCGGAGUCGCUAGUAAUCGCAGAUCAGCAAUGCUGCGGUGAAUACGUUCCCGGGCCU
This 1367-nucleotide ribosomal RNA is filed under the name uncultured bacterium. RNAcentral's name for it is "bacterial SSU rRNA". It matches the Rfam family "Bacterial small subunit ribosomal RNA", at positions 28 to 1381 of the family's 1533-position model. The record is from RNAcentral.